UACGAAGGGGGCUAGCGUUGCUCGGAAUCACUGGGCGUAAAGCGCACGUAGGCGGCUUUUUAAGUCAGGGGUGAAAUCCUGGAGCUCAACUCCAGAACUGCCUUUGAUACUGAGGACCUUGAGUUCGGGAGAGGUGAGUGGAACUGCGAGUGUAGAGGUGAAAUUCGUAGAUAUUCGCAAGAACACCAGUGGCGAAGGCGGCUCACUGGCCCGAUACUGACGCUGAGGUGCGAAAGCGUGGGAAGCAAACAGG
RNAcentral lists this ribosomal RNA (253 nucleotides) under uncultured bacterium. Its description in RNAcentral is "partial 16S ribosomal RNA". It matches the Rfam family "Bacterial small subunit ribosomal RNA", at positions 524 to 776 of the family's 1533-position model. The record is from RNAcentral.